AGGAUAAACGCUGGCGGCGUGCAUGAGACAUGCAAGUCGAACGGACGACUCGGGCUUGCUCGAGUCGUUAGUGGCGAACGGCUGAGUAACGCGUAGGUGACCUGCCCCGAAGUGGGGAAUAACUGCCCGAAAGGGUGGCUAAUACCGCAUGUGGUCGCACGUUCACUCGUGCGAGUAAAGCCGCAAGGCGCUUCGGGAGGGGCCUGCGUCCGAUUAGCUCGUUGGUGGGGUAACGGCUCACCAAGGCGACGAUCGGUAGUGGUCUGAGAGGACGAUCACCCAGACUGGGACUGAGACACGGCCCAGACUCCUACGGGAGGCAGCAGUCGGGAAUUUUGCUCAAUGGGCGAAAGCCUGAAGCAGCAACGCCGCGUGAGGGAUGACGGCCUUCGGUUGUAAACCUCUUUUCUCAGGGACGAUGAUGACGGUACCUGAGGAAUAAGCCACGGCAAACUACGCGCCAGCAGCCGC
RNAcentral lists this ribosomal RNA (471 nucleotides) under uncultured bacterium. RNAcentral's name for it is "SSU rRNA". It matches the Rfam family "Bacterial small subunit ribosomal RNA", at positions 26 to 518 of the family's 1533-position model. The record is from RNAcentral.